CGACUAAGCGUACACGGUGGAUGCCCUGGCAGUCAGAGGCGAUGAAGGACGUGCUAAUCUGCGAUAAGCGUCGGUGAGGUGAUAUGAACCGUUAUAACCGGCGAUUUCCGAAUGGGGAAACCCAGUGUGUUUCGACACACUAUCAUUAACUGAAUCCAUAGGUUAAUGAGGCGAACCGGGGGAACUGAAACAUCUAAGUACCCCGAGGAAAAGAAAUCAACCGAGAUUCCCCCAGUAGCGGCGAGCGAACGGGGAGGAGCCCAGAGCCUGAAUCAGUGUGUGUGUUAGUGGAAGCGUCUGGAAAGGCGCGCGAUACAGGGUGACAGCCCCGUACACAAAAAUGCACAUAUUGUGAGCUCGAUGAGUAGGGCGGGACACGUGGUAUCCUGUCUGAAUAUGGGGGGACCAUCCUCCAAGGCUAAAUACUCCUGACUGACCGAUAGUGAACCAGUACCGUGAGGGAAAGGCGAAAAGAACCCCGGCGAGGGGAGUGAAAAAGAACCUGAAACCGUGUACGUACAAGCAGUGGGAGCCUCUUUAUGGGGUGACUGCGUACCUUUUGUAUAAUGGGUCAGCGACUUAUAUUCUGUAGCAAGGUUAACCGAAUAGGGGAGCCGAAGGGAAACCGAGUCUUAACUGGGCGUUAAGUUGCAGGGUAUAGACCCGAAACCCGGUGAUCUAGCCAUGGGCAGGUUGAAGGUUGGGUAACACUAACUGGAGGACCGAACCGACUAAUGUUGAAAAAUUAGCGGAUGACUUGUGGCUGGGGGUGAAAGGCCAAUCAAACCGGGAGAUAGCUGGUUCUCCCCGAAAGCUAUUUAGGUAGCGCCUCGUGAAUUCAUCUCCGGGGGUAGAGCACUGUUUCGGCAAGGGGGUCAUCCCGACUUACCAACCCGAUGCAAACUGCGAAUACCGGAGAAUGUUAUCACGGGAGACACACGGCGGGUGCUAACGUCCGUCGUGAAGAGGGAAACAACCCAGACCGCCAGCUAAGGUCCCAAAGUCAUGGUUAAGUGGGAAACGAUGUGGGAAGGCCCAGACAGCCAGGAUGUUGGCUUAGAAGCAGCCAUCAUUUAAAGAAAGCGUAAUAGCUCACUGGUCGAGUCGGCCUGCGCGGAAGAUGUAACGGGGCUAAACCAUGCACCGAAGCUGCGGCAGCGACACUAUGUGUUGUUGGGUAGGGGAGCGUUCUGUAAGCCUGUGAAGGUGGCCUGUGAGGGUUGCUGGAGGUAUCAGAAGUGCGAAUGCUGACAUAAGUAACGAUAAAGCGGGUGAAAAGCCCGCUCGCCGGAAGACCAAGGGUUCCUGUCCAACGUUAAUCGGGGCAGGGUGAGUCGACCCCUAAGGCGAGGCCGAAAGGCGUAGUCGAUGGGAAACAGGUUAAUAUUCCUGUACUUGGUGUUACUGCGAAGGGGGGACGGAGAAGGCUAUGUUGGCCGGGCGACGGUUGUCCCGGUUUAAGCGUGUAGGCUGGUUUUCCAGGCAAAUCCGGAAAACCAAGGCUGAGGCGUGAUGACGAGGCACUACGGUGCUGAAGCGACAAAUGCCCUGCUUCCAGGAAAAGCCUCUAAGCAUCAGGUAACAUCAAAUCGUACCCCAAACCGACACAGGUGGUCAGGUAGAGAAUACCAAGGCGCUUGAGAGAACUCGGGUGAAGGAACUAGGCAAAAUGGUGCCGUAACUUCGGGAGAAGGCACGCUGAUAUGUAGGUGAAGCGACUUGCUCGUGGAGCUGAAAUCAGUCGAAGAUACCAGCUGGCUGCAACUGUUUAUUAAAAACACAGCACUGUGCAAACACGAAAGUGGACGUAUACGGUGUGACGCCUGCCCGGUGCCGGAAGGUUAAUUGAUGGGGUUAGCGGUAACGCGAAGCUCUUGAUCGAAGCCCCGGUAAACGGCGGCCGUAACUAUAACGGUCCUAAGGUAGCGAAAUUCCUUGUCGGGUAAGUUCCGACCUGCACGAAUGGCGUAAUGAUGGCCAGGCUGUCUCCACCCGAGACUCAGUGAAAUUGAACUCGCUGUGAAGAUGCAGUGUACCCGCGGCAAGACGGAAAGACCCCGUGAACCUUUACUAUAGCUUGACACUGAACAUUGAGCCUUGAUGUGUAGGAUAGGUGGGAGGCUUUGAAGUGUGGACGCCAGUCUGCAUGGAGCCGACCUUGAAAUACCACCCUUUAAUGUUUGAUGUUCUAACGUUGGCCCGUAAUCCGGGUUGCGGACAGUGUCUGGUGGGUAGUUUGACUGGGGCGGUCUCCUCCUAAAGAGUAACGGAGGAGCACGAAGGUUGGCUAAUCCUGGUCGGACAUCAGGAGGUUAGUGCAAUGGCAUAAGCCAGCUUGACUGCGAGCGUGACGGCGCGAGCAGGUGCGAAAGCAGGUCAUAGUGAUCCGGUGGUUCUGAAUGGAAGGGCCAUCGCUCAACGGAUAAAAGGUACUCCGGGGAUAACAGGCUGAUACCGCCCAAGAGUUCAUAUCGACGGCGGUGUUUGGCACCUCGAUGUCGGCUCAUCACAUCCUGGGGCUGAAGUAGGUCCCAAGGGUAUGGCUGUUCGCCAUUUAAAGUGGUACGCGAGCUGGGUUUAGAACGUCGUGAGACAGUUCGGUCCCUAUCUGCCGUGGGCGCUGGAGAACUGAGGGGGGCUGCUCCUAGUACGAGAGGACCGGAGUGGACGCAUCACUGGUGUUCGGGUUGUCAUGCCAAUGGCACUGCCCGGUAGCUAAAUGCGGAAGAGAUAAGUGCUGAAAGCAUCUAAGCACGAAACUUGCCCCGAGAUGAGUUCUCCCUGAGACUUAGAGUCUCCUGAAGGAACGUUGAAGACGACGACGUUGAUAGGCCGGGUGUGUAAGCGCAGCGAUGCGUUGAGCUAACCGGUACUAAUGAACCGUGAGGCUUAACCUUACAACGCCGAAG
RNAcentral lists this ribosomal RNA (2909 nucleotides) under Escherichia coli. RNAcentral's name for it is "partial 23S ribosomal RNA". It matches the Rfam family "Bacterial large subunit ribosomal RNA". Lineage: Bacteria; Pseudomonadati; Pseudomonadota; Gammaproteobacteria; Enterobacterales; Enterobacteriaceae. The record is from RNAcentral.